AAUGCAUUUCUGGCCACAUUCCUGGGCAUUUCCCAUUUUCGUUCCUGUUUCUUCGAGAAAGUGUUUGAAAGAGAGGGCAUUUCUGGCCACAUUCCUGGGCAUUUCCCAUUUUCGUUCCUGUUUGUUCGAGGAAGUGUUUGAAAGAGAGGGCAUUUCCCAUUUUCGUUCCUGUUUGUUCGAGGAAG
Ornithodoros turicata is the source of this 185-nucleotide long non-coding RNA. RefSeq lists it as uncharacterized. The transcript has 3 exons. The record is from RefSeq and is a predicted model, not a curated record. Lineage: Eukaryota; Metazoa; Arthropoda; Arachnida; Ixodida; Argasidae.